Molecule: ribosomal RNA, 88 nt
Filed under: Shewanella frigidimarina
Lineage: Bacteria; Pseudomonadati; Pseudomonadota; Gammaproteobacteria; Alteromonadales; Shewanellaceae
Also listed under: 1 other name
Source: RNAcentral
CUGAUCCCAUUCCGAACUCAGAAGUGAAACACAGUAUCGCCGAUGGUAGUGUGGGGUCUCCCCAUGCGAGAGUAGGUCAUUUCCAGGC